UAAUAGCACAAAGUGCCAGGAAAGAAUUAUUCAAGCCCUUCCCAGAAGGUAUCCUUCUGGCAAGGGUACUGUACUAAACUAACUAAAGUGGGGGAUAGUGAGGGGAUAAAUUUUCUUAAGGAACUCGGCAAAAUCCCAAUGGCCCACCAGGGCAUAUUGGAACACGGGCCUCGACUGUUUACCAAAAACAUAGCCCUCGGCUAAUAUGAAAAUAGAUGUAUAGAGGGUGAUGCCUGCCCAAUGGUUGUAUCUAAAAGCGGUUGAUAAAAGUUGACCUCGUAAGGACAAUUGAAUGGCCGCGGUAACACUGACCGUGAUAAUGUAGCGUAAUCAAUAGCCAAUUAAUUGUUGGCCAGUAUGAAUGGCGCCACGAAGGCCCCACUGUCUUAAGGAAAUUCCCAGUGAAAUUGAAUUCGUAGUGAAGAUGCUACGUCCAAUUUGUUAGACGAAAAGACCCCGUUGAGCUUUACUGGAGCACUUACAUGGCCCCGGCCUUCCCAUGCCUGGGAACCGGCCGAAUUUAAAUGGGCGGCUUAGAUUAUGUGGCAGCCCCCCGCUGGGGCAAAUGAAACACCACUCCCCCAUGUCAAAGGGGCUAACCCCCCCCCUUGGGGGGACAGUGUAAGUAGGACAGUUUGGUUGGGGCGACCACCUUUUAAAAAGUAACGAAGGUGCGCUUAAGGUGCGCAAUUAAUGACUGAAGCCUGACUGCGAGGGGGACACCCCGAGCAGACACCCCAAAGCCCGCCCGAAAGGCGGCGGUGGGGUGGGCCAUAGUGACCCGUUAAUUUAGAGUGGAAUAGUUAACGAUCAACGAAUAAAAGUUACCACGGGGAUAACAGCGUAAUAUCGUUAGAGAGUUCACAUCGACGACGAUGUUUGCGACCUCGAUGUUGAAUUGCGGCAUCCUGGGGUGCAGCCGCUCCA
This 927-nucleotide ribosomal RNA is filed under the name Zoanthus sociatus. Its description in RNAcentral is "partial large subunit ribosomal RNA". It matches the Rfam family "Bacterial large subunit ribosomal RNA", at positions 1570 to 2566 of the family's 2925-position model. Lineage: Eukaryota; Metazoa; Cnidaria; Anthozoa; Zoantharia; Zoanthidae. The record is from RNAcentral.